Molecule: ribosomal RNA, 329 nt
Filed under: uncultured eukaryote
Lineage: Eukaryota
Description: partial 18S ribosomal RNA
Rfam family: Eukaryotic small subunit ribosomal RNA
Source: RNAcentral
CCCUUGGAUGUUCUGGGCCGCACGCGCGCUACACUGAUGCAUUCAACGAGUCUAAAACCUGCUCUGAUAGGGGUGGGUAAUCUUUUGAAUGUGCAUCGUGAUUGGGAUAGAUGAUUGCAAUUUUUCAUCUUCAACGAGGAAUGCCUAGUAAACGCAAGUCAUCAGCUUGCAUUGAUUACGUCCCUGCCCUUUGUACACACCGCCCGUCGCUCCUACCGAUUGAAUGAUCCGAUGAAUAUCAUGGAUUGAGGAUGCAAGUAGGUUCGCCUAUCUUCAUCUUCGAGAAGUGAAGUAAAUCUUAUCAUUUAGAGGAAGGAGAAGUCGUAACA